CUAACGAUUAACGACUCAUUAUAGACCGGGCAUUACUAAAAUUGUGGUUACUGGGCUAAAUUCAUGAAAUGUAUUGGUGGCUCAGAGACGCACGAAUUGGUUCAAAAUAUUUUAGAAAGAUUCAUGACUAAUCAGUUGGCUACAUUUUUCAACAUUCAAGGCAAAAACUUAAAAAAAAAAGAUGACACGCAGCCGAAAAUAGCGUUUACAAAUACUAAUUUAUUCAAAUGUAUAAUGAGUAAGUUUUUAUGAUAAUGAUGUCAAUUAUAUAUAGUAUAAGUGUGUACAAUUUAAUUUAUAAUCAAUUACAACUUUUAGAAGCUGCUCAUCUUCAUCGUAGUAAUGUUGACGAGAAUAAUGUGCAACAUAAAAGUAUUGCACCUUGGUUAGCUCAAGCAAAUUUACGUUUAUCCAGAGAAAAGUAAUAAUACUAAUUUUAUAUAAAAGCUGUAUUGU
RNA transcript from Formica exsecta, 456 nucleotides. RefSeq lists it as uncharacterized. NCBI's taxonomy places the organism in Eukaryota, Metazoa, Arthropoda, Insecta, Hymenoptera, Formicidae. The record is from RefSeq and is a predicted model, not a curated record. The transcript is spliced from 2 exons.